UACGGAGGGGGCUAGCGUUGUUCGGAAUUACUGGGCGUAAAGCGCACGUAGGCGGCUUUGUAAGUUAGAGGUGAAAGCCCGGAGCUCAACUCCGGAAUUGCCUUUAAGACUGCCUCGCUUGAAUCCAGGAGAGGUGAGUGGAAUUCCGAGUGUAGAGGUGAAAUUCGUAGAUAUUCGCAGGAACACCAGUGGCGAAGGCGGCUCACUGGUCCAUUACUGACGCUGAGGUGCGAAAGCGUGGGGAGCAAACAGG
Molecule: ribosomal RNA, 253 nt
Filed under: uncultured bacterium
Lineage: Bacteria
Description: partial 16S ribosomal RNA
Rfam family: Bacterial small subunit ribosomal RNA
Source: RNAcentral